This 1140-nucleotide ribosomal RNA is filed under the name uncultured bacterium. RNAcentral's name for it is "bacterial SSU rRNA". It matches the Rfam family "Bacterial small subunit ribosomal RNA", at positions 30 to 1165 of the family's 1533-position model. The record is from RNAcentral.
CGGACAGUUGCGGCCGUGUAAGACAUGCAAGUCGAACGAGAAGCUUACUUAGCUUGCUUUGAAAGUUUCUAGUGGCGAACGGGUGAGUAACACGUGAGUUACCUGCCUCGAAGUGGGAGAUAGCCCGGGGAAACUCGGAUUAAUACCCCAUGUGAUCGUAAGAUUAAAGGCGGCUUCGGCUGUCGCUUCGAGAUGGGCUCGCGGCCUAUCAGUUAGUUGGUGAGGUAAAAGCUCACCAAGACGAUGACGGGUAGCUGGUCUGAGAGGACGACCAGUCACACUGGAACUGAGACACGGUCCAGACACCUACGGGUGGCAGCAGUCGAGAAUCAUUCGCAAUGGACGAAAGUCUGACGGUGCGACGCCGCGUGGAGGAUGAAGGCCCUAGGGUCGUAAACUCCUGUCAUCAGGGAGUAAUUACUUAUGUAGUAACUGACAUAGGUCUUGAUAGUACCUGAAGAGGAAGGGACGGCAAACUUCGUGCCAGCAGCCGCGGUAAUACGAAGGUCCCAAGCGUUGUUCGGAUUUACUGGGCGUAAAGCGUCUGUAGGCGGGAUGGUAAGUCAGAUGUGAAAUCCCGGGGCUCAACCCCGGAACUGCAUCCGAUACUGCCAACCUAGAGGGUCGGAGGGGAGUCUGGAAUUCUCGGUGUAGCAGUGAAAUGCGUAGAUAUCGAGAGGAACACUCGUGGCGAAGGCGAGACUCUGGACGACACCUGACGCUGAGAGACGAAGGCCAGGGUAGCGAAAAGGAUUAGAUACCCUUGUAGUCCUGGCAGUAAACGGUGCACGCUUGGUGUGGGAAGGUUCGACCCUUUCCGUGCCGGAGCUAACGCGUUAAGCGUGCCGCCUGGGGAGUACGGUCGCAAGAUUAAAACUCAAAGAAAUUGACGGGGACCCGCACAAGCGGUGGAGCAUGUGGCUUGAUUCGAUGCAACGCGAAGAACCUUACCUGGGCUUGACAUGUUAGUCGUAGAUUUGUGAAAGCUUAUCGUCACUUCGGUGGACUAUCACAGGUGCUGCAUGCUGUCGUCAGCUCGUGUCGUGAGAUGUUGGGGUUAAGUCCCGUAACGAGCGCACCCCUAUGACUGUGCAGCGAAUAAUGCGGGGACUUCUGUUCAGAACUGCCCAGAUUAACUGG